RNAcentral lists this transfer RNA (71 nucleotides) under Marmota monax (woodchuck). RNAcentral describes it as "tRNA.Ala". Lineage: Eukaryota; Metazoa; Chordata; Mammalia; Rodentia; Sciuridae. The record is from RNAcentral.
GAGGCUGUCGCUCAGUGGUUGAGUGCUUGUCUAGCACAUAGGAGGCACUGGGUUCCAUCCUCAGCACCACA